This 1556-nucleotide ribosomal RNA is filed under the name Escherichia coli. RNAcentral describes it as "bacterial SSU rRNA". It matches the Rfam family "Bacterial small subunit ribosomal RNA". The record is from RNAcentral. Lineage: Bacteria; Pseudomonadati; Pseudomonadota; Gammaproteobacteria; Enterobacterales; Enterobacteriaceae.
UUAAAUUGAAGAGUUUGAUCAUGGCUCAGAUUGAACGCUGGCGGCAGGCCUAACACAUGCAAGUCGAACGGUAACAGAAAGCAGCUUGCUGCUUUGCUGACGAGUGGCGGACGGGUGAGUAAUGUCUGGGAAACUGCCUGAUGGAGGGGGAUAACUACUGGAAACGGUAGCUAAUACCGCAUAACGUCGCAAGACCAAAGAGGGGGACCUUAGGGCCUCUUGCCAUCGGAUGUGCCCAGAUGGGAUUAGCUAGUAGGUGGGGUAACGGCUCACCUAGGCGACGAUCCCUAGCUGGUCUGAGAGGAUGACCAGCCACACUGGAACUGAGACACGGUCCAGACUCCUACGGGAGGCAGCAGUGGGGAAUAUUGCACAAUGGGCGCAAGCCUGAUGCAGCCAUGCCGCGUGUAUGAAGAAGGCCUUCGGGUUGUAAAGUACUUUCAGCGGGGAGGAAGGGAGUAAAGUUAAUACCUUUGCUCAUUGACGUUACCCGCAGAAGAAGCACCGGCUAACUCCGUGCCAGCAGCCGCGGUAAUACGGAGGGUGCAAGCGUUAAUCGGAAUUACUGGGCGUAAAGCGCACGCAGGCGGUUUGUUAAGUCAGAUGUGAAAUCCCCGGGCUCAACCUGGGAACUGCAUCUGAUACUGGCAAGCUUGAGUCUCGUAGAGGGGGGUAGAAUUCCAGGUGUAGCGGUGAAAUGCGUAGAGAUCUGGAGGAAUACCGGUGGCGAAGGCGGCCCCCUGGACGAAGACUGACGCUCAGGUGCGAAAGCGUGGGGAGCAAACAGGAUUAGAUACCCUGGUAGUCCACGCCGUAAACGAUGUCGACUUGGAGGUUGUGCCCUUGAGGCGUGGCUUCCGGAGCUAACGCGUUAAGUCGACCGCCUGGGGAGUACGGCCGCAAGGUUAAAACUCAAAUGAAUUGACGGGGGCCCGCACAAGCGGUGGAGCAUGUGGUUUAAUUCGAUGCAACGCGAAGAACCUUACCUGGUCUUGACAUCCACGGAAGUUUUCAGAGAUGAGAAUGUGCCUUCGGGAACCGUGAGACAGGUGCUGCAUGGCUGUCGUCAGCUCGUGUUGUGAAAUGUUGGGUUAAGUCCCGCAACGAGCGCAACCCUUAUCCUUUGUUGCCAGCGGUCCGGCCGGGAACUCAAAGGAGACUGCCAGUGAUAAACUGGAGGAAGGUGGGGAUGACGUCAAGUCAUCAUGGCCCUUACGACCAGGGCUACACACGUGCUACAAUGGCGCAUACAAAGAGAAGCGACCUCGCGAGAGCAAGCGGACCUCAUAAAGUGCGUCGUAGUCCGGAUUGGAGUCUGCAACUCGACUCCAUGAAGUCGGAAUCGCUAGUAAUCGUGGAUCAGAAUGCCACGGUGAAUACGUUCCCGGGCCUUGUACACACCGCCCGUCACACCAUGGGAGUGGGUUGCAAAAGAAGUAGGUAGCUUAACCUUCGGGAGGGCGCUUACCACUUUGUGAUUCAUGACUGGGGUGAAGUCGUAACAAGGUAACCGUAGGGGAACCUGCGGUUGGAUCACCUCCUUACCUUAAAGAAGC